RNAcentral lists this ribosomal RNA (430 nucleotides) under uncultured bacterium. RNAcentral's name for it is "partial 16S ribosomal RNA". It matches the Rfam family "Bacterial small subunit ribosomal RNA", at positions 28 to 526 of the family's 1533-position model. The record is from RNAcentral.
GAUAAACGCUGGCGGCGUGCAUAACACAUGCAAGUCGAACGAAGUGGCGAACGGGUGAGUAACACGUGAGUAACCUGCCUUACACAAGGGGAUAGCCUUUGGAAACGAAGAAUAAUACCCUAUAGUGUAAGAUGGCCUUGCGUCUGAUUAGCUAGUUGGUGAGAUAACGGCCCACCAAGGCAACGAUCAGUAGCCGGCUUGAGAGAGUGUAAGGCCACAUUGGGACGGAGACACGGCCCAAACUCUACGGGAGGCAGCAGUGGGGAAUUUUGCACAAUGGGGGAAACCCUGAUGCAGCGACGCCGCGUGAUUUAGAAGGCCUUCGGGUUGUAAAAAUCUGUUGUUAGAGAAGCGUUAGUAACUGAACGUCCCCUGACGGUAUCUAACCAGAAAGCCACGGCUAACUACGUGCCAGCCGCCGCGGUAAUUC